CGCGGAUCUGCUGGUGGAAAAGGGCCAGCUUCUCUCGGCUGCAGGGGAGAAAGCACGGGCAGAAGAACAGGAAGUGAGCUUCCAAGAAGAUAUAAUCGAAAUUCAGAAUGAUGAAGAAGCAAAACUACUUUUCAAAAAUGUCGGCAUUUGUGGCGCUGCCUGACCUGCUGAGUUCCUCCUGCAUUUGUGAGUGAUGCUUCAGAUGUCCAGCAUUUUCAGAAUCUUUUGUUUUUAGUUUGAAAUUAAGAAUGUUAACUAAGACUAUUGUAGCUCGAUUUUAGAUGAGGU
Hypanus sabinus (Atlantic stingray) is the source of this 288-nucleotide long non-coding RNA. RefSeq lists it as uncharacterized. The record is from RefSeq and is a predicted model, not a curated record. NCBI's taxonomy places the organism in Eukaryota, Metazoa, Chordata, Chondrichthyes, Myliobatiformes, Dasyatidae. The transcript is spliced from 3 exons.